CCCGGCCUAGCUUAGCCUGGCUAGAGCGGCUGACUGUAGAUCAGCAGAUCCCUUGUUCAAAUCAUGGGGCCGGGACCA
This 78-nucleotide transfer RNA is filed under the name Methanomassiliicoccaceae archaeon. RNAcentral describes it as "tRNA-Tyr". It matches the Rfam family "tRNA". From Rfam's summary of the family: Transfer RNA (tRNA) molecules are approximately 80 nucleotides in length. Their secondary structure includes four short double-helical elements and three loops (D, anti-codon, and T loops). The record is from RNAcentral. Lineage: Archaea; Methanobacteriati; Thermoplasmatota; Thermoplasmata; Methanomassiliicoccales; Methanomassiliicoccaceae.